AACGAACGCUGGCGGCAUGCCUAACACAUGCAAGUCGAACGAGACCUUCGGGUCUAGUGGCGCACGGGUGCGUAACGCGUGGGAACCUGCCCUUAGGUUCGGAAUAACUCCCCGAAAGGGGUGCUAAUACCGGAUAAUGUCUUCGGACCAAAGAUUUAUCGCCUUUGGAUGGGCCCGCGUUGGAUUAGCUAGUUGGUAGGGUAAAAGCCUACCAAGGCGACGAUCCAUAGCUGGUCUGAGAGGAUGAUCAGCCACACUGGGACUGAGACACGGCCCAGACUCCUACGGAAGGCAGCAGUGGGGAAUAUUGGACAAUGGGCGAAAGCCUGAUCCAGCAAGGCCGCGUGAGUGAUGAAGGCCUUAGGGUUGUAAAGCUCUUUUACCCGGGAUGAUAAGGACAGUACCGGGAGAAUAAGCUCCGGCUACUCCGUG
Molecule: ribosomal RNA, 432 nt
Filed under: uncultured bacterium
Lineage: Bacteria
Description: partial 16S ribosomal RNA
Rfam family: Bacterial small subunit ribosomal RNA
Source: RNAcentral